AGUGCCCACUGUGGGCCUGGCGCUUUGCUGGGUGAGGGGGUCCAGAGAUGAGCAGGAAUGCUCCCUGCUCUCAGCCGGCGGGAGCAUAUGUGGGGGGGCUUGCAGGAAGUGACACCUGAGCAGAGUUUUGCAGUGAGGGUAAGGAAGAGCAAAUCAGGUGGAAACAAGAAGGGCAUGGCAGGCAGAGCACGAGCACAGGCUACAAGUCCCAAGACGAUGGAACGAGAGAGCAGCCGAAGGUGUCGGGGUGAGGGGGCCACAGACAGGGAGGCCGGGGCCAGCUGGAGAGGGGCCUAUAGCCCAGAGCCCUCGAAUCUCUGAUGGUUCCAGUUUUUGUUUCUCCUGAAUUUUGCAAUUUUGAAGAGUACUUGCAGCGUGAGUACCCUCCUGAAGGCUUCCUGGUCAGCUCCUGCAGUCAGACAUGGAGAAGCACACGUAGUGCUGCCACAGUGUGGGUGCUGCGGGGUCCUGGUGCUCCGAGGAUGGCAUCUGUGUUCCCUGAAGGAGAGGACUUGGCUUGGCCUGGCAUUUCUCAGGUAAAGAACAGCUGACCUGGCGAAGAUUCGGAAGAGGGCUGCUGCAUCAGAAAUAGAGAUGAGUGGGCGGUCACAGAAGACGGCUGCUUCUUGAGGCCUAGGAAAAAGAUCUGCUCCACUACACACUUGCUGGGAUAACGACCCCUCUCGUCGGCACAACUGGAAUAGAUACAUCAAAUGGCAUCAGGAAAAGGAGAGGAACAGAGGUUUGGACUGGUUACCAGUUCACCAUCCCAAGCCUUAUGCACUGAAUAUAAAGCUAUACAUGGAGCAAUUCCCUCUGAGAAAAAUCCAGAAAUGGAGUGACUCCUACACAUUGGGUGACUGAGAAAGUACCUGCAUCAAAACAAGUAGGAAAGACUGAGACACACUCUUGACAUAACUUCCACCCCUGGCACAGUACCAUACAAUUGGACACUGAUAGAUCUCAGCACACCUGCAGCUACUGGGAGUCACUAAGAAAAUGGAUGGCAGCUCAGAUAAUCACAAAGGUCUGAGAAGCAACAAGCAGCUCAAGCCAGGCUGAUUGCAGAGUUCAUACCCUACAUGAGACCAGUCUGUUAAGACUGGAAGAGGUGGCUGGGUUAGCUAAUGUGAGAAACUGACAUAAAGUGUCAAGGAAAAUGAAACAGGAGAGUAUGUUCCAAACAAAAGCACAUGAUGAAUCUACAGAAACUUUCAUGAAAUGGAGGUUUCUGCUUGGCAGGGGAACCUUUGUAAAGAGCCCUCACCUUCAGAACUACAAAUUACUAUAGAAAUCAAGCAGAAAGAACAUCAUUUGUGAACAUUCUGUAGAAAAACUUGGUUAUUGUCAUAUCAAUAAUGACAAGUGUAGUGGGCUAAAUGGUGGGCCCCCCCAAAGAUAUUUUCCACUUUCUAAUCCCUGGGAGGAGUGAACAUUACCUUCUGCAGUAACAGAUUUGACUAAAUUAAGGAUCUCGAGAUAAGAUUAUCUGGGAUUAUCCAGAUAGGCCCUAAAUAUCAUCACAAGCGUCUUGUAAGAGAGAGAUGGGAGAGGAGACAGAUGCACAGAGAAGGCGCAGUGAAGACAGAGGCACACACUGCAGUGAUGCAGCUACAAGCCAAGGACACCGAGGACUGCAGGCAGCCACCAGAAGCUAGGGGACAGGUAGGGGACAGACUGUCCCUCAGAACCUCCAGAAGGAACCAGCCCUGCUGACUCCAUGAUUUCGGACUUCAAGCCUCUGAAACUGUGAGAGAAUACAUUUUUGUCAUUUUAAGCCAAGUUUGAAGGGAAGCCACCAAGAAUGAAGGGAAGAGAUAUAACAGGUGUAAGGCAUGUAGCUGUCUGUCAUUUACUUUUACCUCAUUUGAUCCUGGCAGAAACACAUCAACCACAGUGGCUUUUGGUUCUGUGACUGGAUGAACCAAUAAAGCACUUCCUGAAAAACAGGGAAGAAAUGAAGUUGAAUAUUAUUAUAAGAGGUCUGAAGACAUCCCUUCU
This is a long non-coding RNA of Vicugna pacos (alpaca), 2001 nucleotides long. RefSeq lists it as uncharacterized. Lineage: Eukaryota; Metazoa; Chordata; Mammalia; Artiodactyla; Camelidae. The record is from RefSeq and is a predicted model, not a curated record.